AGCGAACAGACGAGGAGCUUGCUCCUCUGACGUUAGCGGCGGACGGGUGAGUAACACGUGGAUAACCUGCCUAUAGGACUGGGAUAACUUCGGGAAACCGGAGCUAAUACCGGAUAAUAUAUUGAACCGCAUGGUUCAAUAGUGAAAGACGGUUUUGCUGUCACUUAUAGAUGGAUCCGCGCCGCAUUAGCUAGUUGGUAAGGUAACGGCUUACCAAGGCAACGAUGCGUAGCCGACCUGAGAGGGUGAUCGGCCACACUGGAACUGAGACACGGUCCAGACUCCUACGGGAGGCAGCAGUAGGGAAUCUUCCGCAAUGGGCGAAAGCCUGACGGAGCAACGCCGCGUGAGUGAUGAAGGUCUUCGGAUCGUAAAACUCUGUUAUUAGGGAAGAACAAAUGUGUAAGUAACUAUGCACGUCCUGACGGUACCUAAUCAGAAAGCCACGGCUAACUACGUGCCAGCAGCCGCGGUAAUACGUAGGUGGCAAGCGUUAUCCGGAAUUAUUGGGCGUAAAGCGCGCGUAGGCGGUUUUUUAAGUCUGAUGUGAAAGCCCACGGCUC
This 563-nucleotide ribosomal RNA is filed under the name uncultured Bacilli bacterium. Its description in RNAcentral is "bacterial SSU rRNA". It matches the Rfam family "Bacterial small subunit ribosomal RNA", at positions 65 to 610 of the family's 1533-position model. The record is from RNAcentral. Lineage: Bacteria; Bacillati; Bacillota; Bacilli.